UACGAAGGGUGCAAGCGUUACUCGGAAUUACUGGGCGUAAAGCGUGCGCAGGCGGUUCGGAAAGAAAGAUGUGAAAUCCCAGAGCUUAACUUUGGAACUGCAUUUUUAACUACCGAGCUAGAGUGUGUCAGAGGGAGGUGGAAUUCCGCGUGUAGCAGUGAAAUGCGUAGAUAUGCGGAGGAACACCGAUGGCGAAGGCAGCCUCCUGGGAUAACACUGACGCUCAUGCACGAAAGCGUGGGGAGCAAACAGG
This 253-nucleotide ribosomal RNA is filed under the name uncultured bacterium. RNAcentral's name for it is "partial 16S ribosomal RNA". It matches the Rfam family "Bacterial small subunit ribosomal RNA", at positions 524 to 776 of the family's 1533-position model. The record is from RNAcentral.